CGACCCCAAGUCAGGCGAGAC
This 21-nucleotide ribosomal RNA is filed under the name Lepidozamia peroffskyana. Its description in RNAcentral is "partial 26S rRNA". Lineage: Eukaryota; Viridiplantae; Streptophyta; Cycadopsida; Cycadales; Zamiaceae. The record is from RNAcentral. RNAcentral also lists the same sequence under 2 other names.